CUUAACUUCUGAGUCAGAAACCGACUUCCGCGUCGUAGGAGGAUGUUAUUGUUAGCUUCAGCGGUGGAUGAGAAAAUGCAGUAGUCCCACACACAUUUGGAUGUCAUAAAGUAAUGGGCUGAGAUCCACCCACAUCAAAAAUGGCGAGAGACAGAAAGUGCAUCCUCUGUGAAACAGUCCACUCCUCCAAGCAGGAGAUGGAUGAGCACAUGAGAAGUAUGCUGCACCACCGUGAGCUGGAGAAGCUCAAAGGCCGG
Molecule: long non-coding RNA, 257 nt
Organism: Xiphias gladius (swordfish)
Lineage: Eukaryota; Metazoa; Chordata; Actinopteri; Istiophoriformes; Xiphiidae
Exons: 3
Source: RefSeq, a predicted model, not a curated record